GCAUCGAUGAAGAACGCAGCCAGUUGCGAUAAGUAGUGUGAAUUGCAGAAUUCAGUGAAUCAUCGAAUCUUUGAACGCAAAUUGCGCUUUCCGGAUAUCCGGGGAGCAUGCCUGUCUGAGCGUCGUUUAAUAAUCUACACACCUCGGUGUGGGUAGGGAGUUCAUGUGACCUGUUUUUCAGGACACCUGUCUCUCGAUGUGUCUGAACCUUGCUCGUACUUGCUUAUGUACUUGCUUGGAAGGCUCAACUUGCUUCUGUCCUUCUAAAGCUUCGUACUUGCUCGUUAAGCUUGUGUUCUCUGAGAGCUUUCGCGAGUUCUCGCUCACAAUUUUGACCUCAGAUCAGACAAGACUACCCGCUGAAUUUAAGCAUAUCAAUAAGCGGAGGA
Molecule: ribosomal RNA, 389 nt
Filed under: uncultured fungus
Lineage: Eukaryota; Fungi
Description: eukaryotic LSU rRNA
Rfam family: 5.8S ribosomal RNA (bases 1-125)
Source: RNAcentral